This 339-nucleotide unclassified non-coding RNA is filed under the name uncultured fungus. Its description in RNAcentral is "partial contains 5.8S ribosomal RNA, internal transcribed spacer 2, and large subunit ribosomal RNA". The record is from RNAcentral. Lineage: Eukaryota; Fungi.
AACGCACCUUGCGCUCCUUGGUAUUCCGGGGAGCAUGCCUGUUUGAGAAUCGAUCAAACCCUCAUGCCCUUUUGGGGCGUGGACUUUGGACGUUUUUGCGUGCAGCGCGUGCAAUCGUCUCAAAAGCAAACCAGUCUGUCGAUGUUCCUUAUUUUUGGGGACGGGGCUUUCAGAUGCUCAUCUCGCGAUGGUCAAUGUCUGACUGACCUGAAACCCAGGUGCAUUGGGCUUUUGGACUGACCGCAUGUGCCCCUUGGUGGGUGGCAUGCAGCAACAUGCGAAUCCAAAAGCAUGAAUUUACUUGGUCUCAAAUCAGGCAAGAAAACCCGCUGAACUUAA